RNAcentral lists this non-coding RNA (20 nucleotides) under Arabidopsis thaliana (thale cress). The record is from RNAcentral. Lineage: Eukaryota; Viridiplantae; Streptophyta; Magnoliopsida; Brassicales; Brassicaceae.
UGGUCGUUGUAGUGCAUCUC